UCAUUUAAUUUACGUAAAAUAUAUGAAAUGAAAUAUUUGAAAAUUCAAGUCUAACGAGCUACAUUUAAUAAAACUCAAUGAAAACCUCAUGGAUCUGUGCUUUUUCAUGCUUGAAUGAAUAGUAAUAAAGCUGCGCCCGCCUACAAUUUUCUGAACAAACAGAAUUAUUCGAACCUGCUACAUAUUCAGAACUAAAGGCUACGGGCCUCAUACUGUCUAACCGAUUUGUGAUGAUGGGAGCGCCUCUACAAUGGCGAGAUUCUUACUGUUAAAACCGUUUUUGAUGACUUAAAAGCCUCUGGAGUUAGGGCUUCCGAUGAUACCAAUUGUGAUGAUGUCACCUUUAAGGUGACGGGCCUCUACAGUUUAUCUUAACUGUAUUGACUUAAGCGCUCAAAAAUAAUGAGCCUCAGGCUGUUCAUUACCGAUUGAUCUGAAAAGCUAUGGAGUUAACAGCCUCAGAUUAAACACGCCAAAAACUAUUAUUUAGAGGCAUUUAGGAUCAGGAAUCCCAGAAUGUCCAUUACCGAUUAUGAUGAUAAAAGAACCUCUAGGCUUAGAAACCUUAGAUUUUCUAUUCCCGAUUAUGAACUGCCUAUUACCGAUUUGUGAUGAUUUGAAGACCUUUAGAGUCAAAGGCCCUGACUGUCCAUUAUCUACAUAUUAUGAUGAUUAAGAGGCUUCUUGAUUCAGAAACUCAAACUGCCUAUUACCGAUUUGUGAUAAUCGGUAAUACCCCAGAGAUCUUUUGCUCUAGGAUCGAGAACCUGAGACACUAUCAAAUGUUAUAUAAAGGUCUCUAGGCUUCAUUUCAUUCAAAAAUGGAAUAAAGAAAACAUCCAGAAUGUAUAUUUUGUGUGUCAACAUGAUGUCGUGUUUUGCUUCCAUAUUCAUAUCAAGACUGGUAUUCAAGACUGGUAUUGAUUAGAAACUUAACCACCAACAUAACUCGUCAGAUUUUGCAUGGACUGCAUAGAAUCUUAAUAAAAAUGUUAUUUCUCCUUUAAAGACCUGGCUGUAUUCUAAUUACUUGAAUCUUAAAUCCUAAACCAGUACUUGUUUCAUUGGGGAAAUGGCAUGGGAAAAUGUGUAUAUUUGGCUAUGUUUAUGAGUUAUGUAUGGAAACGUAAGAUGCCGCGUAUGAAUGACGAAAACGAUUGCUUUCACUGACUUCAUUAAUUGAUUAAUCGAUUGAUCAUGUUAUGAUAUGCAGAAUUGCAGCAUUGCAGCAUCCAAAAUUACCUACAUGGAUGCAUUAAUGGACAGGCAUCAUUUGAUAAGCUACUGAAACGGGAUUUAUAUUAACUCGCAAGAGACUCGCAUAAUUAUUAUUU
This is a long non-coding RNA of Teleopsis dalmanni, 1334 nucleotides long. RefSeq lists it as uncharacterized. Lineage: Eukaryota; Metazoa; Arthropoda; Insecta; Diptera; Diopsidae. The transcript is spliced from 3 exons. The record is from RefSeq and is a predicted model, not a curated record.